UAGGUUCCUUAUGGUGUCUUUGCAACUUGCAAGGUCUUGCAAAAAAAGGUGCUGAUUAUUCAUACAAAUAAUCUGACAUCUUUAGUUCCAAAGUCCUGCAGCCUCCUGAGUCUCAUAACUCUAAAGGUUCUGGAUCUGCAUGACAACCAGCUGGCAUCACUUCCUGCUGAUAUUGGUCAGCUGGCAGCUCUUCAGGUAAAAGAUUUGCAGCUGCAUCCCAGGUGUCUGUACAGGACAUGUUUGGGGACAGCAGGGAUUUGGGGUUACACUCUUUGGUUUACAGUUAAUCACAGCUUCUGUGGUGAUGCCAUUUCAUCAGAUCCAUAACAUCACCCUGACUGUUGCU
Non-coding RNA from Cyanistes caeruleus (blue tit), 346 nucleotides. The record is from RefSeq and is a predicted model, not a curated record. NCBI's taxonomy places the organism in Eukaryota, Metazoa, Chordata, Aves, Passeriformes, Paridae.